CCCAUGGCUCUUUUCCUGCUUCUGAUGCCGUCCCACCCUUUGAAUUGGUCAAGAGGAUUUGGUGCUGAAUCUAUCCAGGAGAGUCCACCACCACUCCCUUUCCCAACCCAGGGUGUAACGGGAUAAAAAGGUGAACCUGGGGCCUGGCACUGUGUCUUGUCUUGUGGUUCCGGUGGGAAAUCUGCUACACCAGGAAUCAGGAGACCAAACUCUGCUACCAACUGCCUCGGUGACACUUGAGUUCUCUUGUGCUUCAGUUUGUACUGUCAAAUGAGUAAAGGAGUUAAACGGG
Molecule: long non-coding RNA, 292 nt
Organism: Rhinopithecus roxellana (golden snub-nosed monkey)
Lineage: Eukaryota; Metazoa; Chordata; Mammalia; Primates; Cercopithecidae
Exons: 2
Source: RefSeq, a predicted model, not a curated record